UGGGGAAUAUUGGACAAUGGGCGAAAGCCUGAUCCAGCAAUGCCGCGUGAGUGAUGAAGGCCUUAGGGUUGUAAAGCUCUUUUACCAGGGAUGAUAAUGACAGUACCUGGAGAAUAAGCUCCGGCUAACUCCGUGCCAGCAGCCGCGGUAAUACGGAGGGAGCUAGCGUUGUUCGGAAUUACUGGGCGUAAAGCGCGCGUAGGCGGUUUCUCAAGUCAGAGGUGAAAGCCCGGGGCUCAACCCCGGAACUGCCUUUGAAACUAGGAGACUAGAAUCUUGGAGAGGUCAGUGGAAUUCCGAGUGUAGAGGUGAAAUUCGUAGAUAUUCGGAAGAACACCAGUGGCGAAGGCGACUGACUGGACAAGUAUUGACGCUGAGGUGCGAAAGCGUGGGGAGCAAACA
RNAcentral lists this ribosomal RNA (402 nucleotides) under uncultured Novosphingobium sp. RNAcentral's name for it is "bacterial SSU rRNA". It matches the Rfam family "Bacterial small subunit ribosomal RNA", at positions 355 to 774 of the family's 1533-position model. Lineage: Bacteria; Pseudomonadati; Pseudomonadota; Alphaproteobacteria; Sphingomonadales; Sphingomonadaceae. The record is from RNAcentral.